UAAAGUAUUAAUGAGGAUGUCGUAAAUAAAAUAACAUUACCAAUCAAGACAGCGUUUUAAAAGAUAACCUAUGUAUGAACUGGAUCAGUUGGAACAUACGAUAGAAGAUAGUAUUUUAGAAUAUUAUCGAAACUUAAUGAAUGAGACUCAUAAUAAUAUACUAAAUACAUAACCUUUUUAUUUUAAAUUAUAUCAGUGCAUAAUGCAAAUACUGCAUCAAAGAAUGAAAAUACAGCGUGAAUAAUCAAUCAAAAAUUUUAAUCAAUGUAUCGUUAAAUAUUGGGCCCAUUUUCUUCGAUGUAAUGUUAAAAAUCAGAACCGGCUGUAUAAAUAUUCCUUUAACGUGAAUUUUGUUAAAAUUUGUAAGUUUCGUUGAUAUAUGGUCAUUGAAAUGUAAACACAAGUCAACAUAUACUUACGUAUACGUUACAAAUAAUCCGUUUCAUUUGCCAAACAAUAAAUACAAAUAUAAGACAACAUUUUAGAAUAUUAUCAAAACUUAAAGAAUGGACUCGUAUAUGGAAUACAUAAACUUUAUUUUAAUUUCUAUCAGGGCAUAAUGCAAAUGCUGCAUCAAAGAAUGAAAAUACAGUGUAAAUAGUUAAUCAAAAAUUUUAACGAAUAUAUUGUUAAAUAUCGGACCCAUUUUCUUCGAUAUAAUGUUAAAAAUCAAAACCAGCUGCAUAAAUAUUUCUUUAACAUGAAUUUUGUUAAAAUUACUUAAGUAUACAUUGACUCGCGUUUACAUUUCAGUGACCAUAUGUCAACAAAACUCAUAAAUUUUAACAAAAUUCAUGUGAUAGAAAUGUUUAUACAACUGGUUCUGAUUUUUAACAUUACAGCGAAGAAAAUGGGUCCGAUAAUUAACGAUACAUUAAAUAAAAUUUAUGAUUGAUUAUUCAUGCUUUAUUUACAUUUUUGAUGCAGCAUUUGUAUUAUGCAUUAAUAGAAAUAAAAAUAAAAUGUAUAUGUAUGCAGUAUAUUAAGAGUUUCAUUCAUUAAAUUUCGAUAACAUUCUAAAAUGUCAUCUUAUACUUGUAUUUAUUGGUUGGUAAAUGAGACGGACUAUUUGUAACGUAUACAUAAGUAUACAUUGACUUGCGUUUACAUUUCAGUGACCAUAUAUCAACGAAACUCACAAAUUUUAACAAAAGUCAUGUGAAAGGAAUGUUUAUACAACCGGUUCUGACUUUUAACGUUACAGUGAAAAAAAUGGGCCCGAUAAUUAACGAUACAUUAAAUAAAAUUUUUUAAAUUGAUUAUUCAUGCUUUAUUUGCAUUUUUGAUGCAGUACUUGUAUUAUGCAUUGAUAGAAAUUAAAUUAAAGUGUAUAUGUAUGCAGUAUAUUAUGAGUCUCAUUCAUUAAGUUUUGAUAACAUUCUAAAAUGUUAUUUUAUACUUGUAUUUAUUGUUUGAUAAAUGAGACGGACUAUUUAUGUAUAACGUAUACAUAAGUAUACAUUGACUUGCGUUUACAUUUUAGUGACCAUAUGUCAACGAAACUCAUAAAUUUUAACAAAAUUCAUGUUAAAGGAAUAUUUAUACAGCGGGUCCUGAUUGUCAACACUACAUUGAAGAAAAUUGAUCUGAUAUUUAACGAAGUAUUGAUUAAAGUUUUGGAUUGAUUAUUCAGGCAUUCAUGCAUUUGCAUUCUUUGCAUUAUGCACUGACAGAAAUUCAAAUAAAGUGUUUAUGUAUUCCGUAUAUUAUAAAUCCUAUUCUUUAAGUUUCGAUAAUAUUCUUUACUUGUAUUUAAAUAUUAGUAAAAGAUAACAUUUUAGAAUAUUAUUGAAACUUAAAGAAUGGGACUCAGAGUGAUUUCACAUGCGGCAUAACUUGCGUAAACGUACCUUGCGUCAACCAAUCAAAUCGUCUUUAACAUGCCCUAAGUGUUCCUAAAAUCGUCUCAGCGCACUAUAAAAACAAUAUAAUUGGUCGACGCAAGUUACGCCACAUGUGAAGUCACCCUGAGUCUCAUUCUUCAAGUUUUGAUAAUAUUCUAAAAUGUUAUUUUUUAAUGUAAAAUCAUAUAAAAUCACUCUCAUAAUAUACUGAAUACAUAAACACUUUAUUUUAAUUUCUUUCAGUGCAUAAUGUAAAUACUGCAUCAAAGAAUGCAAAUACAGCGUAAACAAUCAAUCAAAAAUUUUAUGUAUGGUUAAAUAUCAGGCCCAUUUUCUUCGAUGUAAUGUUAAAAAUCAGAACCGGCUGUAUAAAUAUUUCUUUAACAUGAAUUUUGUUAAAAAUUAUGAGUUUCGUUGAUAUAUGGUCACUGAAAGGUGAAUACAAGUCAAUGUAUACAUAUGUAUACGUUACAAAUAGUCCGUUUAUUUGCCAAACAAUAAAUACAAGUAUAAGAUAAUAUUUUAGAAUAUUAUCGAAACUUAAAGAAUGGGACUCGGAAUAUGCGGAAUAUAUAAACAUUUUAUUUUAAUUUCUAUCAGUGCAUAACGCAAACACUGCAAAAAAGAAUGUAAAUACAGUGUAAAUAAUCAGAAAUUUUAAUGAAUGUAUCGUUAAAUAUCAGGUCCAUUUUUUUCGAUGUAAUAUUAAAAGUCAGAACCGGGUAUAUAAAUAUUCCUUUAAUAAAUUUUGUUAAAAUUUAUGAAUUUCGUUUACAUAUCGUUUUCAUAAUGUAAAUUAAAGUAUUAAUAAAAAUGUCGUAAAUAAGAUAACAUUACCAAUCAAGACAACGUUUUAAAAGAUAACCUAUGUUUGAACUGGAUCAAUUCAAACAUACGAUAUAAGAUAGUAUUUUAGAAUAUUAUUGAAACUUAAAGAAUGGGACUCAUAUUAUACGGAAUACAUAAACUUUAUUUUAAUUUCUGUCAGUGCAUAAUGCAAAUACUGCAUCAAAGAAUGCAAAUACAGCGUGAAUAAUCUGUCAAAAGUUUGAGGUUAAUGACGUGUUGACGUGCUUGAGGAGGUUAGAAGCGAGUUAGUUUUUAGUUUUAUGCAUGAUUUGCAUAUCACAUCGCGGAUUAUAACGUGGAGGGAAAUACAGUUGUGCCCAACUUGAAGAUCAGUACAACACUAUGCGCUGUACAAUCAGAUAAGUCACAUAAAAUUUUCAUUCCUCCUAUGAAAUAAGCAUUCUAAUAUAAGAUUAAUACUUUGUGUUAUGUUUCAUUUUCAGUUUAUGUCAAAAAAAAGAAAAAAGAAACGCUUCAUCUGAACCUAAAGAAGAAUAGAAGGAGAGAAAAGAGUGAACGAGUAAGGAAAGAGAGAUAUAAUUAAUCUCAAAUUUCAGAAUUUACACCCAACUGAUCUGCCAAUGUCAUGGCUGUAAUAUCGGUGAUGUUUAUAUGGAUGCCAAAGAUCAUCUGUACGUUUUAGUCUAUUUAAUAACUGUCAAACAUUCUAUGCGAGUCGGAUACUUAUAUGAAUAAGGUACAGAAAUGUAUCGAUAAGGCUCUUAGUCAAAUCAUAAACUAAAACGUAGGUAUUUAAACAAUUUAUGAUUCCAAAUCAUGAAUAUAAAUGAUUCCAAACACGUCAUCGGCAGGCUAGAUAGGUGACCUUAUAGUUUGUAUACUUUGCUGUAAUUGUUUCAGACAAGAUUUCAUGCUUUUCAAUUAUUCAAUACGUUGCAAAAGAAUAAACCAUUUACUUCAUUCUAUCAUUUUUUUGGCAAAUUCCUAUUACACAGAUAUUAUGAAUUAAAAUAACAAUUUGAAUGUUUUAUUAUACUUGCAAAUACCAGUUCAAAACGUGCAGUCUCCAGACAAUCUUUUAAAUCGUUGUUUUGAACAGUAAUGUUAUUUUAUUCACAAAUUACCAAUUAGUGUUUUUUAAUUAUCCUAAUGAAAACAAAACUCAAAAAGUUUGAAAAAAUGUUAAAGAAAUAAUUAUAUUGUCAGUCCUGAAUUUUGACAUUACGGACAAUUCGGACAGCAAAAGUAUUCGAUAUAUGAUCUUAUGUAAUUUAUAACAAUUUGAUAAUUGUUUAUAUACCUUAAAUUACGUAUAUACUUUAAAAUGAUAUAUGUAUUAUGGUUAAACAUUAACUUUUUUAAUGUGUCUUGAAAAGUAAUAUACGAAAUACAUAUACACUUUAUUUUUUAAUUUUUAUCAGUACAUAAUGCAAACAUUGCAUUAAAGAAUAUAGUGUAAAUAAUCAAUCAAAAAUUUUAAUGAAUGUAUCGUUAAAUAGUAAGUCCAUUUUCUUCGAUGUAAGGUUAAAAGUCAGAAUCGGCUGUAUUCAUGUAAGUAUCUGACUCGCACAGAAUGCUUGACAGUUAUUAAAUAAACUAAAACGUACAGAUGAUCUUUGGCAUCCAUAUAAACAUUACUGAUAUUACAGUCAUGACAUUGGCAGAUCAGUUGGGUGUAAAUUCUGAAAUUUGAGAUUAAUUAUAUCUCUCUUUCCUUACUCGUUCACUCUUUUCUCUCCUUCUAUUCUUCUUUAGGUUCAGAUGAAGCGCUUCUUUUUUCUUUCUUUUGACAUAAACUGAAAAUGAAACAUAACACAAAGUAUUAAUCUUAUAUUAGAAUGCUUAUUUCAUAGGAGGAAUGAAAAUUUUAUGUGACUUAUCUGAUUGUACAGCGCAUAGUGUUGUACUGAUCUUCAAGUUGGGCACAACUGUAUUUCCUUCCACGAUAUAAUCCGCGAUAUGAUACGCAAAUCAUGCAUAAAACUAAAAAUUAACUCGCCUCUAACCUCCUCGCGCACGUCAACACGUCAUUAACCUCAAACUUUUGAUUGAUUAUUCACGCUGUAUUUGCAUUCUUUGAUGCAGUAUUUACAUUAUGCAUUGACAGAAAUUAAAAUAAAGUUUAUGUAUUCCGUAUAAUAUGUGUUUCAUUCUUUAAGUUUCGAUAAUAUUCUAAAAUACUAUCUUAUAUCGUAUGUUUAAAUUGGUCCAGUUCAAACAUAGGUUAUUUUUUAAAACGUUGUCUUGAUUGGUAAUGUUAUCUUAUUUACAUUUUCAUUAAUACUUUAAUUUACAUUAUGAAAACGAUAUGUGAACGAAAUUCAUAAAUUUUAACAAAAUUCAUUAAAGGAAUAUUUAUAUACCCGGUUCUCAUUUUUAAUAUUACAUUGAAGAAAAUGGGCCUGAUAUUUAACGAUACAUUCAUUAAAAUUUCUGAUUGAUUAUUUACACUGUAUUUCCAUUCUUUUUUGCAGUGUUUGCAUUAUGCACCGAUAGAAAUUAAAAUAAAAUGUUUAUGUAUUCCGCAUAUUCUGAGUCCCAUUCGUUAAGUUUCGAUAAUAUUCUAAAAUAUUAUCUUAUACUUGUAUUUAUUGUUUGGCAAAUAAACGGACAAUUUGUAACGUAUACAUAUGUAUACAUUGACUUGUAUUCACCUUUCAGUGACCAUAUAUCAAUGAAACACUCAUAAUUUUUAACAAAAUUCAUGUUAAAGAAAUAUUUAUACAGCCGGUUCUCAUUUUUAACAUUACAUCAAAGAAAAUGGGCUGAUAUUUAACGAUACAUAAAAUUUUUGAUUGAUUAUUUACGCUGUAUUUGCAUUCUUUGAUGCAGUAUUUACAUUAUGCACUGAAAGAAAUUAAAAUAAAGUGUUUAUGUAUUCAGUAUAUUAUGAGAGUGAUUUUACAUGAUUUUACAUUAAAAAAUAACAUUUUAGAAUAUUAUCAAAACUUGAAGAAUGAGACUCAGGGUGACUUCACAUGUGGCGUACCUUGCGUCGACCAAUUAUAUUGUUUUUAUAGUGCGCUGAGACGAUUUAGGAACAUUUAGGGCAUGUUAAAGACGAUUUGAUUGGUUGACGCAAGGAGGACAUUGAUAAAGAGACUUUUCUAAAAAUAAAUGAAAAUAAAGUGACACGAUUAAUCACAACAAUUCGAGGAGUUCGCUUUUUUCUAGAAAAAAGAAAACAAUUGAUAGACACAUUAAAAUUAAAGGAACUGAGUGAAGAAACAAAAAGCAAAUUUUCACAAUGCAAUAGUGAUAUAAAACCUUCGGUAUGUAUAAUAUACUUUUAGUUAAAAAAAUAUAUGUUACAUAUUAUAUACUUUUUCGGUAUAUAUUAUAUUCAUCAAGGCUUUUGUUUUAGUUUGAUAGACAUCGUAUGCAUCGAAAAAUUAUCCAAUAGAUGAAUCAUUAAAUGCAACAUUAACUGAAGACUUUGAUUGGACAUAACACUGACAAGCAGAGUACAUCAAAUAAUUUAUCAGAUGCAUCUAGUAAUGAUGAAGAUAAUAUAAAUCCUUCAAUUAAUAAAUGUAUCAUUAGUAAAGAAAAAAAAUUAAAGAAAAAUAAUAAUGCUGAAAAUGAAUUUUAAAAAAUUUUAUACGCUAUUAAUUGUUCUACAGCAGUUCAAAAUACGGUAAUAUUUUUAUGCAAAAUAUUUUAUACAUAUUUUGUUAAUUUUAUUAAUUUUAUUAAAUAUUCUAAACAUAUGUUUUUGUCAUUUUUAAUAGGAUUUUAAAAAAUUGUUACAAAACUUUGUUGACAGCUAAAUUAUUAUAAAAUUUUAUGAAUACCAUGACAUACUUGAAGCUAAACGUAGAAAAUUAACUGAUCUUGAUUUUACUUAAUUUAUGUUUCAAAAAUCUGAAAACGAGACAGAAA
Monomorium pharaonis (pharaoh ant) is the source of this 6536-nucleotide long non-coding RNA. RefSeq lists it as uncharacterized. The record is from RefSeq and is a predicted model, not a curated record. NCBI's taxonomy places the organism in Eukaryota, Metazoa, Arthropoda, Insecta, Hymenoptera, Formicidae. The transcript has 3 exons.